Molecule: ribosomal RNA, 397 nt
Filed under: uncultured bacterium
Lineage: Bacteria
Description: bacterial SSU rRNA
Rfam family: Bacterial small subunit ribosomal RNA
Source: RNAcentral
GACGAACGCUGGCGGCGUGCUUAACACAUGCAAGUCGAGGGGGAGUAGGGGCGAACUCUACUUCACCGGCGAACGGGUGCGUAACACGUGAGCGACCUACCCUGGUGUGGGGGAUAGCCGGCCCAACGGCCGGGUAAUACCGCAUACGCUCUGUGAGGGGCAUCCCUUGGAGAGCAAAGCUGUGGGGCAACUCACGGCGCAUUGGGGAGGGGCUCGCGGCCUAUCAGCUAGUUGGCGAGGUAACGGCUCACCAAGGCGACGACGGGUAGCUGGUCUGAGAGGAUGGCCAGCCACAUUGGGACUGAGAGACGGCCCAGACUCCUACGGGAGGCAGCAGUGGGGAAUCUUGCGCAAUGGGCGAAAGCCUGACGCAGCGACGCCGCGUGCGGGAGGACGG